AUUGAACGCUGGCGGCAGGCCUAACACAUGCAAGUCGAGCGGAGCGGCGGACGGGUGAGUAAUGCCUAGGCAUCUGCCUGGUAGUGGGGGAUAACGUCCGGAAACGGGCGCUAAUACCGCAUACUAUCAGAUGAGCCUAGGUCGGAUUAGCUCGUUGGUGGGGUAAAGGCCUACCAAGGCGACGAUCCGUAACUGGUCUGAGAGGAUGAGCAGGUAAACUGGAACGGAAACACGGACCGGACUCCAACGGGACGCGGCGGUGGGGAAUAUUGGACAAGGGGCGAAGGCCUGGUCCAGCCAAGCCGCGUGUGUGGAAGGGGUCUUCGGAUUGGAAAGCACUUUAAGUUGGGAGGCGUUACCAACAGAAUAAGCACCGGCUAACUUCGUGCCAGCAGCCGCGGUAAUAC
This 407-nucleotide ribosomal RNA is filed under the name uncultured bacterium. RNAcentral describes it as "partial 16S ribosomal RNA". It matches the Rfam family "Bacterial small subunit ribosomal RNA", at positions 29 to 526 of the family's 1533-position model. The record is from RNAcentral.